AAAGAAACCAACAGGGAUUGCCCUAGUACGGCGAGUGAAGCGGCAACAGCUCAAAUUUGAAAUCUGGCCCUCGGGUCCGAGUUGUAAUUUGUAGAGGAUGCUUUUGGUGAGGUGCCUUCCGAGUUCCCUGGAACGGGACGCCAUAGAGGGUGAGAGCCCCGUCUGGUUGGACACCGAGCCUCUGUAAAGCUCCUUCGACGAGUCGAGUAGUUUGGGAAUGCUGCUCUAAAUGGGAGGUAUAUGUCUUCUAAAGCUAAAUACCGGCCAGAGACCGAUAGCGCACAAGUAGAGUGAUCGAAAGAUGAAAAGCACUUUGAAAAGAGAGUUAAAAAGUACGUGAAAUUGUUGAAAGGGAAGCGCUUAUGACCAGACUUGGGCUUGGUUGAUCAUCCUGGGUUCUCCCUGGUGCACUCUUCCAGUUCAGGCCAGCAUCAGUUCGCUGCGGGGGAUAAAAGUUUUGGGAAUGUGGCUCCUUCGGGAGUGUUAUAGCCCAUUUCAUAAUACCCUGCUCCGGACUGAGGUUCGCGCAUCUGCAAGGAUGCUGGCGUAAUGGUCAUCAGCGACCCGUCUUGAAACACGGACCAAGGAGUCGUCUUCGUAUGCGAGUGUUCGGGUGUUAAACCCCUACGCGUAAUGAAAGUGAACGCAGGUGAGAGCUUCGGCGCAUCAUCGACCGAUCCUGAUGUUCUCGGAUGGAUUUGAGUAAGAGCAUACGGGGCCGGACCCGAAAGAAGGUGAACUAUGCCUGUAUAGGGUGAAGCCAGAGGAAACUCUGGUGGAGGCUCGCAGCGGUUCUGACGUGCAAAUCGAUCGUCAAAUAUGGGCAUGGGGCGAAAGACUAAUCGAACCUUCUAGUAGCUGGUUUCCGCCGAAGUUUCCCUCAGGA
RNAcentral lists this ribosomal RNA (886 nucleotides) under Calonectria pauciramosa. Its description in RNAcentral is "eukaryotic LSU rRNA". It matches the Rfam family "Eukaryotic large subunit ribosomal RNA", at positions 58 to 978 of the family's 3401-position model. Lineage: Eukaryota; Fungi; Ascomycota; Sordariomycetes; Hypocreales; Nectriaceae. The record is from RNAcentral.